Rattus norvegicus (Norway rat) is the source of this 887-nucleotide non-coding RNA. The record is from RefSeq and is a predicted model, not a curated record. Lineage: Eukaryota; Metazoa; Chordata; Mammalia; Rodentia; Muridae.
GGAAAAAAAGGCGAUUCCCACCAACCCUGCACUCAGGGAACCCAUGUGAGUUACCUGGUGGAGACCGGUAUGGAAUGCACAAUAUGGUCUGAGGCUGGCCCAAAGUAGGCUCAGCCCUAGACCGCCCAUAUACAGAGUGAAGUCCCUCCAAUUGCUGUGUCAGAUCCUGGAAGCCUGCCUGGUCUGGAGGUCACUUUCAGCAGCGGAGAUGGUUUCCGAUUGCUAUCAUUGGGUACAUCCCACUUCUACUUAAAAAUAGCAACGAUUCUGAGUAGGUCAGAAAAAUCAAUGGAUCCACAGAAGCCUCGGACAAAGCACAAAAGCACCAAAGUUUCGGGAAAGAAGAUAGAAAGCCAUUCUCCCUAUCCAACUAAACCACAAGGCCAGGGCUCCGAAGAAAGAAACGUGAGGAGGGGCUUCACGCGUGAACGGAAUGCAAACCGGUAUGCUCUAACAUGUAAUAAGAUAUUGUAAGGGUCCACGGUCUGCCGAAGAAUGAUACCCUGACUCAAAUAGUAUGUAAACACAAAGAGUGUUUUAUUCUACAAAAGUCCAGCAUGCUGGGGUCUCUCCAUUACCAAGACAGACAACCAAGUGAGCUUGCAGGCCUGAUUUAAAGCACACUGGGGAAUUCCAGGAUGCUUUAGAGCCUAGAAGGGAGAGGAUCAAAAUAUCUAUCGCACAGGCCUGGAACCGGAAAAUGGAGCCGAAAGAAAAGAAAGCGAGCUGGCAGCCGCCGUCCGUGAGGAGGAACAUGACCAUUGCUCUAUGUCAUGGUUCCAGAGCCCGUGGUCAUCAGAGUCACUUGGAGAGAGUUCUAAAGCAGAGGUUUCCAUGCAACACCCAGGAACCCAGAAAUUCCUUACAGAAAGAACUUACUAUUCAAA